Molecule: RNase P RNA, 298 nt
Filed under: Lutibacter oricola
Lineage: Bacteria; Pseudomonadati; Bacteroidota; Flavobacteriia; Flavobacteriales; Flavobacteriaceae
Description: Lutibacter sp. UDC377 Bacterial RNase P class A
Rfam family: Bacterial RNase P class A
About the family: Ribonuclease P (RNase P) is a ubiquitous endoribonuclease, found in archaea, bacteria and eukarya as well as chloroplasts and mitochondria.
Source: Rfam by way of RNAcentral
UAAGUAGACCGUCUUAUCGCUCAUUUAUGAGAGGAAAGUCCGGACACCACAGAGUAGCAUAGCGGAUAACAUCCGUCCAGCGUAAGUUGAGGACAAGUGCAACAGAAAGCAAGUACAGUUCGGCUGUAGUGAAACCAGGUAAACUCUAUGCGGUGCAAUGUCACGUAUAUUGAAAUUUUAAAGUCACUCGCUUUAUUUCAAGGGGUAGGCAGCUAAAACUACUAAGUAAUUUUUAGUUUAGAUAAAUGAUAAGAGCUUCUUUGAAGUACAAAAUCCGGCUUAUAGGUCUACUUAUUUU